GUUGCUGUCUUCUUGUAUGUGUUGCUUAUCUAGUCAGCUAACUAUAAACGUGACUGUUGUUUUUCUAUACAGGCAGACGCAUCCUAGCUACCGAAAGGCAAGGAGGUUGUUUCUCAAACUGAUGCCACUGCAGGCUGUGGACACAUGGCUACCUUGUAGAAGAGUUGUUGCUCACCUCAGGAGCAAAGAGGGGUGUCAAGGAAAACAGCUGCAUCCUCCAUCUGUACAGCAGCUGCACUGCUUCCGAUGUCUUCCAAAACGUGAUAAGCACAACAAGAUCCUCAGGCUGCAGAGUUGAUUGCGUAGACUGAAGCUAGUAAACUAGCAGAAGGAAAGCAUGUGUUGGUGAUAUGUGAGGAGCACAAAUUAUAAUAAUUAUCAAUUACUGAUACCUUAAGAGUUCCACUCUGCUCAGACUUAAAAGAAUGCCUCUGCCUUACUUCUCAAUCCUGGUGAGAAGAUCCGGCGUUGCGUGCGUGCUUGCACUGUUGCGUUGCGGUGAUCGCGUCGUUUUCAGCUGAGGCAGCAGCGGGUGAGACGAUUAACCCUGCCGGGUGGCUUGGGGUGAAUGGGUGAUCAGGUCCGUUCUCUGUGACGAUGUCCGCGUUGGUUCAGCUGCUGGCUGCGGUGGAGGCUCCAAGCGUGCCAGGGGCAGAGGGGAGCUCCAGGUGGACGGAGGUGACGGAGAGAAGAAGGGUCUACAGAGGACUCGAGGUGGAGAGAACAAGGGACAGAAAGAACAAGGGGCGUGUCUUUGGUCACGGUAGCUUUUUAUAACUGUGUUUUCGGUCAUGCCCUUCCCAUUGUGUGAUCCAAUCAGGAUGUCUGAUGUCCAAGUUCCAAGUUGUAUCAGCGGGGAGUCCUGACGUCUCGGCGGGGGAGCCAGGUAUGGUUCCCCAGCCUGGCGCAUGGUUUUUGCGCUCGGAUUUGAAAUCUCUGUUUCCACUCACUACUAUCAGGAUGAAGACGUUACACGUAGGCCGCAGUAUUUUCUUUGUUUGGGCACGUGGGACCUCAAUAAUGAUUCUGUUAAUAACCGUUUAUACACGAGGUCCGCCAACAUCUUUUACCAUGUACACAGAGUCGAGAGAUGCUUUUGCGGUCACACUUGACUUUGGUGUUCUUUGGAAGCAUAGUUAGCAAGUUUUUGAAGUCUCAUUGCAUAACUCAAAAUCUUACAUCAUGAUAAGGUUCCUGCUUUUCUGUAUGCUGUUCUGCUACCUGCAGCUAUUGCUGUUUGUAAAUGUCCGACACUGUCACUCUCCAACUCUCCUUACCCUCUCCUUCCUCAUCUCUCCCUGUGCUUCAAACAUUUUCUACCUCACAGGAACACAGACUCUGGCAGACGAAUGGUCGACCUGUAGCCAUGGAGUCUGGUUUGGGCCUGAUGGAAAAAAUGUGCCUGCCCAAACACUUUUUCCUUACAAUUUAGAGUUGAAAAUAGGUGAAAACAGGCAACAGGAUCAUUACACACCAUCCAACCAGAGGACUGGGCAGCGCUGGACCUCCAAACGGGGCAAGGCCCCAUCCAGGUCCUUCUGAUAACCCCGUGGGGGUCGUGGAGAGAGCAACUUGGAUCCACUCUAUUCACUGCAGGAAGGUCUCAGAUCCGACAGACGACCCUCCAACUACACCGCACAGGAAACCAACCAGAAGUGAGGAGACGUGAGAAGGAUGACCCUCGCUUUGCACACACACGCACUGAGGCGAGGCUGGGUUGACCGUUCAGCUGAAGGUGUGAGCCAAGCGCUGAGUCCAUAUAUCUACAAACACGUUCCUGAGACAACCUUCCCACAAGCAGCCUUGAGUUUCCGCCGCUGGAUGACGUGUAGACUCUUGACAUCACAGGAGUGACAGUGACUCAGGCGGCAUUGGGAGGGAAACCUGGCGGUGAUAACAAAUCCCAAGUGUCUCUGUGAUCAGCUGAUCACAACCUGAGGACUCCAAUGAACUGUCAACGUGUCAACACACAGUUCUUUGCUCUUCUUCUUCCUGACCACCACAACCAUCUUACACACCAUCAUGCAGUGCUGACUGGCUACACUCUCUUCUAUCACCACGUGGUAGUCACUAACCUCUCAAAUGAUGAGGUGUGCUUUGCUGGCCUUCGGUAUGAGGUAUUAAAUUCAUUUGGGACCGGUACAGAAGUUACUGGCUUGCAACCCUUGUGGCUAGAUUAAAAAAAAUUAGUAGCCCACUUCUCGCCAAGGUGCUCUGGUUCCCCAACACCUGACGCAGACCUUGUUAGACCGGGCGACGUCUGAGCCGGUAUCUCAUGUGAUUCAUUGUCUCUCAUGAUAUGAGUUACAAUGCCACCAAGGAUAACACCUUGCCAUUCAUUCAAAGAUGCCAUUCAUCAUAUUAUAACAGAAACUGACAAAACGUCUAAACAGGAGGUGAAAUACAUAAACCCCAUCAAAGUGCGUGUGAAGGUGUAUUUGCACUCCAACCAUUUUGCAAAGGGGAAUUUGUGGUUGAAUAUCGAGGCAAUUGUAUAACUGAUGCUGAAGCUGAGAGACGAAAAAAUAUUUACAAUGAAUCUUGCUGUGGAUUCUUUUUUUACUUUAACUGGAGAGGACAAACAUUGUGUAUUGAUGCUUCUGAGGAGGAUGGAUCAUUUGGGCGGUUGGUGAAUGAUGAACACAAAAAACCAAACUGCAAAAUGAAAAAGGUUGAUAACAAGGAAAGCCAGAUCUUUCUCUGUUUGCCUGUAUGGACAUACAAGCAAAUGAAGAAAUAUCCUAGGAUUAUGGGGGAGACGACUGCCCAUGGAGGAAGAUGUUUGCAAGUAAAGAGGACUUCCAGCCUGCACAAGUGUCCCAUGAUGCUUUGAAUCCAGAUGCUGAAAUGAGUGAGCCUGCAAGUGCACCCAGCAAUACAUCAGAGAAAAGGUUGUAGAAAAUUCAACAGAAGAUGUAAUGGAAGAACUCGAUAUUCCUUCUUCACCAGCAAAGGCAACCGACAGUGUGGAGGGUGAAAAUGCCCCAACAACAGCUGAGCAUUGGUCUUCUGGCUUCUGUUCUAAUAGAACUUCAUGUGAAACAUUACCAGCAGUGGAGACAGUUUCAUCUAGUGAGGAUAACGAGAUCCCUCAAACGCACAAAAAACAGGUCACCACCCACACAGCAUGGGGAGUCCUCUGGAAUCUGUUCCGGUAGGGGCCCUACAAAAGGCAAAGCAAAAAGAAUGCCAUGGACGCAAUCAGAGGUUGAGGCUGUGGAGAAACACAUGAUCCGCUUCAUCCAUUCUUGCGUGGUACCAUCAAAGCUGGAUUGUGAGAAAUGCAUCAGAGCUGAACAAGAGGCUCUUAACAACCGGACUUGGCAGAAUGUUAAAUUCUUUGUGCAUAAUCGCAUUACAGCGUACAAAAAAAAGUUCUUAGUAAAUGUUGAGUAAAUGUUGAAUGUAUACUGGCACUAUAGGUUCAUGCAAAAAUGUAAAGUUUGAGUCUGUCCUGUCACUUUUUUUGUUGUUUGCUGCUGUUGUAAGUAAUUGUCAGCUGUUUUAUUAAAACGUUCAGUUAAACAAUU
Molecule: long non-coding RNA, 3530 nt
Organism: Betta splendens (Siamese fighting fish)
Lineage: Eukaryota; Metazoa; Chordata; Actinopteri; Anabantiformes; Osphronemidae
Exons: 13
Source: RefSeq, a predicted model, not a curated record